UACGUAGGGUGCAAGCGUUGUCCGGAAUUAUUGGGCGUAAAGAGCUCGUAGGCGGUCUGUCACGUCGGAUGUGAAAACUCGGGGCUCAACCCCGAGCCUGCAUACGAUACGGGCAGACUUGAGUUCGGCAGGGGAGACUGGAAUUCCUGGUGUAGCGGUGGAAUGCGCAGAUAUCAGGAGGAACACCGGUGGCGAAGGCGGGUCUCUGGGCAGUAACUGACGCUGAGGAGCGAAAGCGUGGGGAGCGAACAGG
Molecule: ribosomal RNA, 253 nt
Filed under: uncultured bacterium
Lineage: Bacteria
Description: partial 16S ribosomal RNA
Rfam family: Bacterial small subunit ribosomal RNA
Source: RNAcentral